RNAcentral lists this ribosomal RNA (255 nucleotides) under uncultured bacterium. RNAcentral's name for it is "partial 16S ribosomal RNA". It matches the Rfam family "Bacterial small subunit ribosomal RNA", at positions 524 to 776 of the family's 1533-position model. The record is from RNAcentral.
UACAGAGGUCUCAAGCGUUGUUCGGAUUCAUUGGGCGUAAAGGGUGCGUAGGCUGUGGGGUAAGUCUGGUGUGAAAUCCCCGGGGGCUCAACCUCGGGUCUGCAGUCGAUACGGGCGGACUGGAGUUCGGCAGGGGAGACUGGAAUUCCUGGUGUAGCGGUGAAAUGCGUAGAGAUGUGGAGGAAUACCGAUGGCGAAGGCAGCCCCCUGGGUCAAUACUGACGCUCAUGCACGAAAGCGUGGGGAGCAAACAGG